CCCUACUCUAAUAAUGUUUUGAUAUCUGGAGCUCAUAGGUGGGAGACAGCUAAUACAUACUUACAAGACAUUUAUUGCAUAGUCAAACCAUGGAUCCAGAAGAACAAGUCAAUAAGUCAAAUCAAGAUGUGUAUGUGUGGCGAAUGAAUGGUGAUAAUGGUUAAAAUAAUGGUGAAAGUCUAAUUCUCCUUGUGCUCUUUUGAGGGGAUACAUACCUUUCUUGCUCUUUUGAAACUUUUUGAGGAGAAUGAGAUGCUCUAUAUUUUCUUUUUCUUUUCUCUCAGGUAGGUAUCUUGUACCCCUAAUUCUACUGU
RNAcentral lists this long non-coding RNA (314 nucleotides) under Sorghum bicolor (sorghum). RNAcentral's name for it is "long non-coding RNA (SBIC_LNC014429)". Lineage: Eukaryota; Viridiplantae; Streptophyta; Magnoliopsida; Poales; Poaceae. The record is from RNAcentral.